CCAUCUCCUUGCUAUGUCAUCAUAUUUUCUCCCCUCUGCACAUGUCUGUGUCCUAAUUUCCUCUUAAUAAGGGUACCAUUCAUAUUGGGUGCGUGCCAACACUAAUGACCUGAUUUUACCCUAGUUACUUCUUUAAAGACCCUGUGUCCAAAUACAGUCACAUUCUGAGGUGCCAGGGGUUGGACUCCAACCUGUGACUUCUUGGGGGGACACAAUUCAACCCCUAACAGCCUGUGGAAUUGCUUAAUGGGAUUUGGUGUGCAGUGUGUACACCAUAAAUGUCUGCGAAUAUUUUAGAAAGUCUCCUUAGAAGGAUGAUGUGAAAAACACAAAAGAAUUAUCAAGGUCCCUCUCUCUGCAUCACAGCCCCCGGGACAAUGGUUGUUGGAGGUUUACUCACUGCUGAGAAAGCUUGCCUGUGGCAUUUGGGGAGAUUAUUUCCUCCAUGUAAUGCCCGGCCUAAAUAUUUGCUUUUCAGUAUUAAUCAUCAUGGCAGCUAUGGAGAGUUUUGAAACAGAAUCAUCCAAUCUUUCCUAAAAGUGCACCAGGCCAAAGAAGAUACACUGGAAGAUGUUAUUAGCUCCUGAAAUUUGGUAACAAGAAAGGCCUUUAAAGUCUCCAGGACUUUAGCUCCUUAACGGUGGGACUAUGCUUUAGAUAGAAGCUGAUUAGUAAAUAUUGAUUGAAUGAAUACAUCCAGACAGAGUGUUUGGAAUCUUGGCUCACCCUGCUCACCUCCCCAGCUCCCAGUCUGGUCUGUCUUCAUCAUGGGAAAUGCUUGCUGUACUGGCCAGAAUGAGCAUCAGAACAUGCAAAGAGCCCAGAUCUGAAAGAAACGUACCAUCUAUUCUUCGAAGGCUGCAACCAGUGAGGUUUCAUCUACAUAACAAGACCACCUUUGGCGGCCAGGCCUCCUCUUCUCUCCCUCCCAUUACCUGUUUUGCCAUUAUAACCUGAUUUACCACUAUAACCUGUUUUUGCCUGUGCUCUGGACUCCCAUUCUUUCUGUAACCUCAAGAUGAUAUGUAAGCUUCUGCACCCCAUUGGUGAGUUGAGCAGUCACUCUGUGGUUCUCCCUGUGCUCACAUUAAUAAAAUC
This 1098-nucleotide long non-coding RNA is filed under the name Homo sapiens (human). RNAcentral describes it as "HSALNT0122196". Lineage: Eukaryota; Metazoa; Chordata; Mammalia; Primates; Hominidae. The record is from RNAcentral.